This 458-nucleotide ribosomal RNA is filed under the name uncultured bacterium. RNAcentral's name for it is "bacterial SSU rRNA". It matches the Rfam family "Bacterial small subunit ribosomal RNA", at positions 29 to 524 of the family's 1533-position model. The record is from RNAcentral.
AACGAACGCUGGCGGCAUGCCUAACACAUGCAAGUCGAACGGGAUCCUAGCUUGCUAGGUGAGAGUGGCGGACGGGUGAGUAACACGUGGGAAUCUGCCUUUUGGUUCGGGAUAACCGCGGGAAACUGCGGCUAAUACCGAAUGCCCUCGAGAGAGGAAAGAUUUAUCGCCAGAAGAGGAGCCCGCGUCCGAUUAGGUAGUUGGUGGGGUAAAGGCCUACCAAGCCGACGAUCGGUAGCUGGUCUGAGAGGAUGAUCAGCCACACUGGGACUGAGAUACGGCCCAGACUCCUACGGGAGGCAGCAGUGGGGAAUAUUGGACAAUGGGGGCAACCCUGAUCCAGCAAUGCCGCGUGAGUGAUGAAGGCCUUAGGGUUGUAAAGCUCUUUUGCCUAGGGAGAUGAUGACUGUACCUGGAGAAUAAGCCCCGGCUAACUUCGUGCCAGCAGCCACGGUAAU